Molecule: ribosomal RNA, 451 nt
Filed under: uncultured bacterium
Lineage: Bacteria
Description: partial 16S ribosomal RNA
Rfam family: Bacterial small subunit ribosomal RNA
Source: RNAcentral
GUGGGGAAUAUUGGACAAUGGGGGGAACCCUGAUCCAGCCAUGCCGCGUGUGUGAAGAAGGCCUUUUGGUUGUAAAGCACUUUAAGCGAGGAGGAGGCUACCGAGAUUAAUACUCUUGGAUAGUGGACGUUACUCGCAGAAUAAGCACCGGCUAACUCUGUGCCAGCAGCCGCGGUAAUACAGAGGGUGCAAGCGUUAAUCGGAUUUACUGGGCGUAAAGCGCGCGUAGGUGGCCAAUUAAGUCAAAUGUGAAAUCCCCGAGCUUAACGUGGGAAUUGCAUUCGAUACUGGUUGGCUAGAGUAUGGGAGAGGAUGGUAGAAUUCCAGGUGUAGCGGUGAAAUGCGUAGAGAUCUGGAGGAAUACCGAUGGCGAAGGCAGCCAUCUGGCCUAAUACUGACACUGAGGUGCGAAAGCAUGGGGAGCAAACAGGAUUAGAUACCCCAGUAGUCC